This 81-nucleotide transfer RNA is filed under the name Paragonimus heterotremus. RNAcentral's name for it is "tRNA-Tyr". It matches the Rfam family "tRNA". Rfam says of the family: Transfer RNA (tRNA) molecules are approximately 80 nucleotides in length. Their secondary structure includes four short double-helical elements and three loops (D, anti-codon, and T loops). Further hydrogen bonds mediate the characteristic L-shaped molecular structure. tRNAs have two regions of fundamental functional importance: the anti-codon, which is responsible for specific mRNA codon recognition, and the 3' end, to which the tRNAs corresponding amino acid is attached (by aminoacyl-tRNA synthetases). tRNAs cope with the degeneracy of the genetic code in two manners: having more than one tRNA (with a specific anti-codon) for a particular amino acid; and 'wobble' base-pairing, i.e. permitting non-standard base-pairing at the 3rd anti-codon position. The record is from RNAcentral. Lineage: Eukaryota; Metazoa; Platyhelminthes; Trematoda; Plagiorchiida; Troglotrematidae.
GGCUUUGUAGCUCUGCCGGCAGAGCGCUUGCCGCGUAGAGGCAUGGUGUUUCUGUUGCUGGUUCGAAUCAAGCCGAAGCCC